AACGAACGCUGGCGGCAGGCUUAACACAUGCAAGUCGAACGCUCUAGCAAUAGAGAGUGGCGCACGGGUGAGUAACGCGUGGGAAUAUACCUUAUUGUGGGGAAUAACGUUGGGAAACUAACGCUAAUACCGCAUACGCCCGAGAGGGGAAAGAUUUCUCGCUAUAAGAUUAGCCCGCGUGAGAUUAGGUAGUUGGUGGGGUAAUGGCCUACCAAGCCGACGAUCUCUAGCUGGUCUGAGAGGAUGAUCAGCCACACUGGAACUGAGACACGGUCCAGACUCCUACGGGAGGCAGCAGUGGGGAAUAUUGGACAAUGGGGGCAACCCUGAUCCAGCCAUGCCGCGUGAGUGAUGAAGGCCUUAGGGUUGUAAAGCUCUUUCGCCGAUGAAGAUAAUGACGGUAGUCGGAGAAGAAGCCCCGGCUAACUUCGUGCCAGCCGCCGCAGUAA
This 449-nucleotide ribosomal RNA is filed under the name uncultured bacterium. Its description in RNAcentral is "partial 16S ribosomal RNA". It matches the Rfam family "Bacterial small subunit ribosomal RNA", at positions 29 to 523 of the family's 1533-position model. The record is from RNAcentral.